CUUGAAGCGGCUUACACUUCACACUUACAUAGGUGAUUCCUAAAUGUGUCAUCCCGUAGAUACACUAUUUGAUAUACCCCGUAUCAAACUUAGAAACCUUUUUCCUCUUUUUCAUAUUAGUUGGGGCAGUUUCAACUAUAUGUGCUCCCCCUAUGUUGAUCUCCCAUUUGCCUUUUUCUCCGCUGCCUUGUUAUCUUCCUCGAUUCUCAACCGGACNNNN
RNAcentral lists this long non-coding RNA (220 nucleotides) under Nicotiana benthamiana. RNAcentral's name for it is "long non-coding RNA (NBEN_LNC024820)". The record is from RNAcentral. Lineage: Eukaryota; Viridiplantae; Streptophyta; Magnoliopsida; Solanales; Solanaceae.